GAUCACGAGUUCGAGGCCAGCCUCGGGCUACACAUUUUUU
This 40-nucleotide unclassified non-coding RNA is filed under the name Mesocricetus auratus (golden hamster). The record is from RNAcentral. Lineage: Eukaryota; Metazoa; Chordata; Mammalia; Rodentia; Cricetidae.